AGCAGCCGCGGUAAUUCCAGCUCCAAUAGCGUAUAUUAAAGUUGUUGCAGUUAAAAAGCUCGUAGUUGAAUUUCGGGACCAAUCUGCCGGUCGUGCCUCCGGUACGCACUGGUUUUAUUGGUUUCUCCCUUCUGACGAACCAUGAUGUCAUUAAUUUGGUGUCAUGGGGAAUCAGGACUGUUACUUUGAAAAAAUUUAGAGUGUUUAUAGCAGGCUCACGCUUGAAUACAUUAGCAUGGAAUAAUGAAAUAGGACGUUUGACCCUAUUUUGUUGGUUUCUAGGAUCGACGUAAUGAUUAAUAGGGAUAGUUGGGGGCAUUAGUAUUCAAUUGUCAGAGGUGAAAUUCUUGGAUUUAUUGAAGACUAACUACUGCGAAAGCAUUUGCCAAGGAUGUUUUCAUUAAUCAAGAACGAAAGUUUGGGGAUCGAAGACGAUCAGAUACCGUCGUAGUCUUAACCAUAAACUAUGCCGACUAGGAAUCAGACGAUGUUAAUUUUUUUAAUGACUCGUUUGGCACCU
RNAcentral lists this ribosomal RNA (520 nucleotides) under uncultured Glomus. RNAcentral describes it as "SSU rRNA". It matches the Rfam family "Eukaryotic small subunit ribosomal RNA", at positions 569 to 1088 of the family's 1831-position model. The record is from RNAcentral. Lineage: Eukaryota; Fungi; Glomeromycota; Glomeromycetes; Glomerales; Glomeraceae.